AUUGCGCUGCUUCUAAUCGUCCUCUUAGGACAAUUAUUGACCAUUUGACCUCAAAUCAGGUAGGACUACCCGCUGAACUUAAGCAUAUCAAUAAGCGGAGGAGG
RNAcentral lists this ribosomal RNA (104 nucleotides) under Gymnopilus lepidotus. Its description in RNAcentral is "partial 28S ribosomal RNA". The stretch from base 46 to 104 matches the Rfam family "Eukaryotic large subunit ribosomal RNA", at positions 1 to 59 of the family's 3401-position model. The record is from RNAcentral. Lineage: Eukaryota; Fungi; Basidiomycota; Agaricomycetes; Agaricales; Galerinaceae.